This 496-nucleotide ribosomal RNA is filed under the name uncultured bacterium. RNAcentral's name for it is "partial 16S ribosomal RNA". It matches the Rfam family "Bacterial small subunit ribosomal RNA", at positions 30 to 523 of the family's 1533-position model. The record is from RNAcentral.
AUUGAACGCUGGCGGAAUGCUUUACACAUGCAAGUCGAACGGUAGAGGGGGCAACCCCUCGAGAGUGGCGAACGGGUGAGUAAUAUAUCGGAACGUGCCCAGUCGUGGGGGAUAACGUAGCGAAAGUUACGCUAAUACCGCAUACGAUCUAAGGAUGAAAGCGGGGGAUACCAAGACCUUGCGCGAUUGGAGCGGCCGAGAUCAGAUUAGGUAGUUGGUGGGGUAAAGGCUCACCAAGCCAACGAUCUGUAGCUGGUCUGAGAGGACGACCAGCCACACUGGAACUGAGACACGGUCCAGACUCCUACGGGAGGCAGCAGUGGGGAAUUUUGGACAAUGGACGCAAGUCUGAUCCAGCCAUUCCGCGUGCAGGAUGAAGGCCCUCGGGUUGUAAACUGCUUUUGUACGGAACGAAAAGGUCUCUCUUAAUACGGGGGGCUCAUGACGGUACCGUAAGAACAAGCACCGGCUAACUACGUGCCAGCCGCCGCCGUAA